This 305-nucleotide ribosomal RNA is filed under the name uncultured bacterium. RNAcentral's name for it is "bacterial SSU rRNA". It matches the Rfam family "Bacterial small subunit ribosomal RNA", at positions 333 to 654 of the family's 1533-position model. The record is from RNAcentral.
UCAGUCCUACGGGGGGCAGCAGUGGGGAAUAUUGCACAAUGGGGGAAACCCUGAUGCAGCGACGCCGCGUGGGCGAGGAAGUACCUCGGUAUGUAAAGCCCUAUCAGCAGGGAAGAAACAGGACAGUACCUGACUAAGAAGCCCCGGCUAACUACGUACCAGCAGCCGCGGUAAUACGUAGGGGGCAAGCGUUAUCCGGAUUCACUGGGCGUAAAGGGAGCGCAGGCGGCAUGGCACGUCUGAUGUGAAAUCCCGGGGCCCAACCCCGGGAGUGCAUUGGAAACUGCCAGGCUGGAUUGUCGGCG